GGGGGGGGGGGGGGGGGGGGGGGGGGGGGGGGGGGGGGGGGGGGGGGGGGGGGGGGGGGGGGGGGGGGGGGGCUCGGGCCUGGGGCGCCGCACCCGGCCUCGGCCCCGCCGGCGAUCCGCGGGCAGCGGCUGAGCGCGGCAGAGGCCGGCGGCGGUCGGAGUGUCGCUCCACCAGGCGGGGCGGCGGCGGCGUGGGCGGGAGCGGCGAAGGACCCUCGGAGCGCGGGUUAAAGCCUCGAUUCCCCCAUCACCGGGGCGAAGCCCAAUGCCUGGUUUUAUAUGAGCAGCCAUCUUGUAUUUAUUCCCUUCCUCCAUGAGAGCCGCUUCCUGAUUGGCAAGCGCGCCCAGCCGCAGCCAAUGGCGGGAGCGCUUCUAAGAGCAAGGAGGGCGGGAGCGCGCAGCGCCCGCACUGAGCAGGAUAGAUCGGGCCGCAGCCAAUGGCGGGAGCGCUUCUAAGAGCAAGGAGGGCGGGAGCGCGCAGCGCCCGCACUGAGCAGGAUCGGCCAUGGAGCCCGCCGGGCCCGCUGGGGGGGCGCCGGCCUCUGCCGGUCCAGCCUAUACUUCAGCCUCUCAUAAAGUAUGCCUGGGAUACCACUUUCCUGCAUGUCUCUUCACCUGUCCUUUGGUGAGAGCACUGUGGCAACUGGAAACUGGCAUUAGAGUCGCCCCAAACACUGGCAGUGUGAGUCAGCCUGAGGCCUCUGAGCACAGAGUGUGGCCAGAGCAAACCACAGACCUGUUUUUCAGUGAACAAAGAAUCAAGUUGCUUCCUCACCUGCUUCCUUUUUGUCAUCUGUUUUUCGGGAAGAAAGGGAGCUGCUGCUUUGGUAAUUGCUGUCCACUGGAACCAGUAAGGCACAGCCUGCUGACAACUGGAGCGAAUAAGAGUCAGCCUGGAGAGGAAACAAGCUCUAGUGGUUGGUGA
This 925-nucleotide long non-coding RNA is filed under the name Ficedula albicollis (Collared flycatcher). RNAcentral's name for it is "lncRNA (ENSFALG00000023493.1)". Lineage: Eukaryota; Metazoa; Chordata; Aves; Passeriformes; Muscicapidae. The record is from RNAcentral.